RNAcentral lists this ribosomal RNA (326 nucleotides) under uncultured eukaryote. RNAcentral describes it as "partial 18S ribosomal RNA". It matches the Rfam family "Eukaryotic small subunit ribosomal RNA", at positions 1470 to 1796 of the family's 1831-position model. The record is from RNAcentral.
CCCUUAGAUGUUCUGGGCUGCACGCGCGCUACACUGAUGCACUCAACGAGUUUACGACCUUGCCCGAUAGGGUUGGGUAAUCUUUUUAAAAUGCAUCGUGAUGGGGAUAGAUUAUUGCAAUUAUUAAUCUUCAACGAGGAAUUCCUAGUAAGCGCGAGUCAUCAGCUCGUGCUGAUUACGUCCCUGCCCUUUGUACACACCGCCCGUCGCUCCUACCGAUUGAGUGCUCAGGUGAAUAAUUCGGACUGCAGCAAUGUUUGGAUCCCGAACGUUGCAGCGGAAAGUUUAGUGAACCUUAUCACUUAGAGGAAGGGGAAGUCGUAACA